GACGAACGCUGGCGGCGUGCCUAACACAUGCAAGUCGAGCGAAAGGACCAGAAGUUUGCGUGGCGGAUGUUAGCGGCGGACGGGAGAGAAACAUGUGUAUAACCUACCUAUCAGACUGGGAUAAUCUCGGGAAACCGGCGCUUAUACCGGAGAAUAUCUUGCACCGUGUGGUGCAAAAGUGAGAUUCGGUCGUUGGGUCACUAAUAGCUGGAUCCGCGCUGCAUGAGCUGGUUGGUAAGGUAAAGGGUUACCAAGGCUAGUAGGCAUAACCGACCGAAGAGGGUGAUCGGCGACCCGGGAGCUGAGACGGGGUCCAGACUCCUACGGUAGGCCGCAGUCGGGAAUCUUCCGCAAUGGUCGAGAGGCUGACAGAGCAACGCGGCGUGAGUUAUGACGCUGCUCGGAUCGUGAAGCUCUGUUGUUAGGAGAGAACAUAUGUGUAAUUAACUGUGCAGAUAUUGACGGUACCGGGUCAAAAAGCCCCGGCUAACUACGUG
This 497-nucleotide ribosomal RNA is filed under the name uncultured bacterium. RNAcentral's name for it is "partial 16S ribosomal RNA". It matches the Rfam family "Bacterial small subunit ribosomal RNA", at positions 28 to 507 of the family's 1533-position model. The record is from RNAcentral.